RNAcentral lists this ribosomal RNA (253 nucleotides) under uncultured bacterium. RNAcentral's name for it is "partial 16S ribosomal RNA". It matches the Rfam family "Bacterial small subunit ribosomal RNA", at positions 524 to 776 of the family's 1533-position model. The record is from RNAcentral.
UACGUAUGGGGCAAGCGUUAUCCGGAUUUACUGGGUGUAAAGGGAGCGCAGGCGGCCUGGCAAGCCUGAUGUGAAAGACCGGGGCCCAACCCCGGGGCUGCAUUGGGAACUGCCAGGCUGGAGUGCCGGAGAGGCAGGCGGAAUUCCUAGUGUAGCGGUGAAAUGCGUAGAUAUUAGGAGGAACACCAGUGGCGAAGGCGGCCUGCUGGACGGUGACUGACGCUGAGGCUCGAAAGCGUGGGGAGCAAACAGG